AUUGAACGCUGGCGGCAUGCUUUACACAUGCAAGUCGAACGGCAGCGCGGGCUUCGGCCUGGCGGCGAGUGGCGAACGGGUGAGUAAUACAUCGGAACGUGCCCAGUAGUGGGGGAUAGCUCGGCGAAAGCCGGAUUAAUACCGCAUACGACCUGAGGGUGAAAGCGGGGGAUCUUCGGACCUCGCGCUAUUGGAGCGGCCGAUGGCAGAUUAGCUAGUUGGUGGGGUAAAGGCCUACCAAGGCGACGAUCUGUAGCUGGUCUGAGAGGACGACCAGCCACACUGGGACUGAGACACGGCCCAGACUCCUACGGGAGGCAGCAGUGGGGAAUUCUGGACAAUGGGCGAAAGCCUGAUCCAGCAAUGCCGCGUGUGUGAUGAAGGCCUUCGGGUUGUAAAGCACUUUUGGCGGGAACGAAAAGGACUGUGCCAAUACCACGGUUCGAUGACG
Molecule: ribosomal RNA, 451 nt
Filed under: Lautropia mirabilis
Lineage: Bacteria; Pseudomonadati; Pseudomonadota; Betaproteobacteria; Burkholderiales; Burkholderiaceae
Description: bacterial SSU rRNA
Rfam family: Bacterial small subunit ribosomal RNA
Source: RNAcentral